UACGUAGGGUGCAGGCGUUAUUCGGAAUUACUGGGCGUAAAGCGUGCGCAGGCGGUUUGCUAAGACAGGUGUGAAAUCCCCGGGCUUAACCUGGGAACUGCGCUUGUUACUGGCAGGCUUGAGUGUGGCAGAGGGGGGUGGAAUUCCACGUGUAGCAGUGAAAUGCGUAGAGAUGUGGAGGAACACCGAUGGCGAAGGCAGCCCCCUGGGCUAACACUGACGCUCAUGCACGAAAGCGUGGGGAGCAAACAGG
This 253-nucleotide ribosomal RNA is filed under the name uncultured bacterium. Its description in RNAcentral is "partial 16S ribosomal RNA". It matches the Rfam family "Bacterial small subunit ribosomal RNA", at positions 524 to 776 of the family's 1533-position model. The record is from RNAcentral.